Molecule: ribosomal RNA, 257 nt
Filed under: uncultured bacterium
Lineage: Bacteria
Description: partial 16S ribosomal RNA
Rfam family: Bacterial small subunit ribosomal RNA
Source: RNAcentral
UACGUAGGGGGCUAGCGUUGUCCGGAAUCAUUGGGCGUAAAGAGCGUGUAGGCGGCCAUGCAGGUCCGUUGUGAAAACUCGAGGCUCAACCUCGAGACGUCGAUGGAAACCGCGAUGGCUAGAGUCCGGAAGAGGAGGAGUGGAAGUUCCUGGGUGUAGCGGUGAAAUGCGCAGAUAUCAGGAGGAACACCGAUGGCGAAGGCAGGUCUCUGGGCCACUACUGACGCUGAGAAGCGAAAGCAUGGGGAGCGAACAGG